CCUACGGGAGGCAGCAGUGGGGAAUAUUGCACAAUGGGCGGAAGCCUGAUGCAGCGACGCCGCGUGAGUGAAGAAGUAUCUCGGUAUGUAAAGCUCUAUCAGCAGGGAAGAAAAUGACGGUACCUGACUAAGAAGCCCCGGCUAACUACGUGCCAGCAGCCGCGGUAAUACGUAGGGGGCAAGCGUUAUCCGGAUUUACUGGGUGUAAAGGGAGCGUAGACGGCGACGCAAGUCUGGAGUGAAAGCCCGGGGCCCAACCCCGGGACUGCUUUGGAAACUGUGCUGCUGGAGUGCAGGAGAGGUAAGUGGAAUUCCUAGUGUAGCGGUGAAAUGCGUAGAUAUUAGGAGGAACACCAGUGGCGAAGGCGGCUUACUGGACUGUAACUGACGUUGAGGCUCGAAAGCGUGGGGAGCAAACAGGAUUAGAUACCCGAGUA
RNAcentral lists this ribosomal RNA (437 nucleotides) under uncultured bacterium. RNAcentral describes it as "bacterial SSU rRNA". It matches the Rfam family "Bacterial small subunit ribosomal RNA", at positions 338 to 792 of the family's 1533-position model. The record is from RNAcentral.